GACGAACGCUGGCGGCGUGCCUAAUACAUGCAAGUAGAACGCUGAAGGAGGAGCUUGCUUCUCUGGAUGAGUUGCGAACGGGUGAGUAACGCGUAGGUAACCUGCCUGGUAGCGGGGGAUAACUAUUGGAAACGAUAGCUAAUACCGCAUAAGAGUAGAUGUUGCAUGACAUUUGCUUAAAAGGUGCAAUUGCAUCACUACCAGAUGGACCUGCGUUGUAUUAGCUAGUUGGUGGGGUAACGGCUCACCAAGGCGACGAUACAUAGCCGACCUGAGAGGGUGAUCGGCCACACUGGGACGGAGACACGGCCCAGACUCCUACGGGAGGCAGCAGUAGGGAAUCUUCGGCAAUGGACGGAAGUCUGACCGAGCAACGCCGCGUGAGUGAAGAAGGGUUUCGGAUCGUAAAGCUCUGUUGUAAGAGAAGAACGAGUGUGAGAGUGGAAAGUUCACACUGUGACGGUAGCUUACCAGAAAGGGACGGCUAACUACGUG
Molecule: ribosomal RNA, 495 nt
Filed under: uncultured bacterium
Lineage: Bacteria
Description: partial 16S ribosomal RNA
Rfam family: Bacterial small subunit ribosomal RNA
Source: RNAcentral